CGUUCCAACCUUUUUAUGCUUCUCACCCAGACUGAGAUAGAAGAAGGAGCCACCCAAACCCUUCAUUGUCUCUGAAGCCAUGUCCAACCCCACGUCGCUUCCACCCGGCUUUCGCUUCCAUCCGACCGACGAAGAACUCAUCCUUCACUACCUGAAGAAUCGAGCAGCGUCGGUGCCGUGCCCAGUUUCGAUCAUCGCCGAGGUCGAUAUCUACAAGUUUGAUCCAUGGGAUCUUCCUGGUUAGUGUCUUAGCAGCAGUAGCUGUCCAAGUGCAACAUGUGUUGCACACUAGCUUCUCUCUCUCCUUUUUUUUUUUAAUAUCAUGAUUAUAUGAUUGCAUGGUUUGGUAGUUUAUGAAUAUUCUUAAAUAUUUGUUUCAGCUAAGGCGAUGUUUGGGGAUCGAGAGUGGUACUUCUUUAGUCCGAGGGACCGUAAGUACCCGAACGGGAUAAGGCCAAACCGGGCAGCUGCAUCUGGGUAUUGGAAGGCAACUGGGACUGAUAAGCCGAUCCAUACGAGCAAAGGGAAUGAGAAUAUUGGUGUUAAGAAGGCCUUGGUGUUCUACAAGGGUAGGCCACCUAAGGGAUUGAAGACCAACUGGAUCAUGCAUGAGUACCGCCUUGCUGAAGCUCAGAACAGCAACAGCUACAAGCCUAUGAAGUUUGGAGACUCUUCCAUGAGGGUAAGGAAGUGAUCUUGUCCCAGAGAACCCUUCUUUUUUCUCUUGUUCUUUCUUUUCUGCUGUAGUAAUUCCAAGAUAUUUUCUUUCUUUGCAUAAAGUCUAAACCAUGAGUCUUGGCCUUUGGGAUUGUUAUUGACAAAACAGCCCUUACAGGUUAAAGAAAAUGAGGCGUGGAUGUCCUUCCAGAUGUAGAUCGCACAAAAACACCCUUCACUUGAUUAACUAGAUUGGAAUUAUUGUCACGUCCAAUGCUUUUUAACCCGCCAUGUUAUUGAAUAAAUACACUAACAUGUCGAUAUGAACUCAACCAUAUUUUUUUUUCAAUUUGGGUUUGAUGAAAAGGACUUCAAGUGAUGCUUCGCAUCAGUUAUUGACUAAAAUACCAGUCGGUGUAUUACAGAUAAGUUUCAUCGAUUAAGCGCAAUAUUCCAGCCCACCUACCACUAGGACUGAGACUGUUUUAGUUUAGAGGGUUGUUGUUGUUAUAAUUAUAAUUAUAAUUAUAAUCAUUAUAAUUAUUAUUAUUUAUUGUUGAUUAUCUUUAACUUCAUAUAGAUGCAUGCUCAGAAUAAUUACUGCAACUCUUUUGUUUUAUACUUGCAAACUUCAAUCAUAUCAAUUGAUAUAUACUUCUGCUUCUCUCCAUUUGCAGUUGGAUGACUGGGUCCUUUGUCGAAUCUACAAGAAGAGCCACCAUCUCCCGUCGGUUCCAACACCAAUGGAUCGAGAGCAAGAAGACUCGGGCAUCGAAGAUAGCUACUACUCAAACUUAACAAACAUCACGCCACAAAACCCUCUAAGACUACAUAAGUCUUCCUCUAUAUCUGAAUUGCUUGAGGACUACUCUUCACUCUCACAUCUAUUUGACAACCAGCCUGAAAUACCCGGAUCAUCAGACCAUGCUUACAUUAUGCCUCAGCCAAGUUCAAACCAACUCUUCAUUAACAGCAGUGGCAGGUACAACUUAGUUCAGCAGCUCCCCCAAGCAGAACCCACUGCUCCAAACGCUGAAAACUAUUUAAAGCGCCAGAGAAUGUCGGACAUUUACUCAGA
RNAcentral lists this long non-coding RNA (1735 nucleotides) under Elaeis guineensis (African oil palm). RNAcentral's name for it is "long non-coding RNA (EGUI_LNC011802)". Lineage: Eukaryota; Viridiplantae; Streptophyta; Magnoliopsida; Arecales; Arecaceae. The record is from RNAcentral.